RNAcentral lists this ribosomal RNA (873 nucleotides) under uncultured archaeon. RNAcentral describes it as "bacterial SSU rRNA". It matches the Rfam family "Archaeal small subunit ribosomal RNA", at positions 64 to 920 of the family's 1478-position model. The record is from RNAcentral.
GCCAUGAUGGAGUCGUGGCACACGGCUCAGUAACACGUGGCUAACCCACCCUCGGGACGGAGACAACCCCGGGAAACUGGGGCUAAUCCCCGAUAGGCGAAGACCCCUGGAAUGGGUCCUCACCCAAAAGGCGUUAAGAUCAUGCUUCUUAACAUCGCCCGAGGACGGGGCCGCGGCCGAUCAGGUAGUUGGUGAGGCAAUGGCUCACCAAGCCUAUAACCGGUACGGGCCGUGGGAGCGGAAGCCCGGAGAUGGGCACUGAGACAAGGGCCCAGGCCCUACGGGGCGCAGCCGUUGCGAAAACUCCGCAAUGCACGAAAGUGUGACGGGGCUACCCCGAGUGCCGUCCGCUGAGGAUGGCUUUUCUCUGCUGUAAGGAGGCGGAGGAAUAAGGAGAGGGCAAGCCUGGUGUCAGCCGCCGCGGUAAUACCAGCUCUCCGAGUGGUAGGGAUGAUUAUUGGGCUUAAAGCGUCCGUAGCCGGCCUUUCAAGUCUCUCGUCAAAUCCAGCGAUUCAAUCGUUGGACUGCGGGAGAUACUGUUGGGCUAGGGGGCGGGAGAAGCCGACGGUAUUCUCAGGGUAGGGGUAAAAUCCUAUAAUCCUGGGAGGACCACCAGUGGCGUAGGCGGUCGGCUAGCACGCGCUCGACGGUGAGGGACGAAAGCUGGGGGGAGCGAACCGGAUUAGAUACCCGGGUAGUCCCAGCUGUAAACGAUGCGGGCUAGGUGUUGGAGCGGCUACGAGCCGCUUCAGUGCCGCAGGGAAGCCAUUAAGCCCGCCGCCUGGGGAGUACGGCCGCAAGGCUGAAACUUAAAGGAAUUGGCGGGGGAGCACCACAAGGGUGAAGCUUGCGGUUUAAUUGGAUUCAACGCCC